GAUGAACGCUGGCGGCGUGCCUAAUACAUGCAAGUCGAGCGAACAGAUAAGGAGCUUGCUCCUUUGACGUUAGCGGCGGACGGGUGAGUAACACGUGGGUAACCUAUCUAUAAGACUGGAAUAACUCCGGGAAACCGGGGCUAAUGCCGGAUAACAUGUUGAACCGCAUGGUUCUACAGUGAAAGGCGGCUUUGCUGUCACUUAUAGAUGGACCCGCGCCGUAUUAGCUAGUUGGUGAGGUAACGGCUCACCAAGGCAACGAUACGUAGCCGACCUGAGAGGGUGAUCGGCCACACUGGAACUGAGACACGGUCCAGACUCCUACGGGAGGCAGCAGUAGGGAAUCUGCCGCAAUGGGCGAAAGCCUGACGGAGCAACGCCGCGUGAGUGAUGAAGGUCUUCGGAUCGUAAAACUCUGUUAUUAGGGAAGAACAAAUGCGUAAGUAACUGUGCGCGUCUUGACGGUACCUAAUCAGAAAGCCACGGCUAACUACGUG
Molecule: ribosomal RNA, 497 nt
Filed under: uncultured bacterium
Lineage: Bacteria
Description: partial 16S ribosomal RNA
Rfam family: Bacterial small subunit ribosomal RNA
Source: RNAcentral